Molecule: ribosomal RNA, 817 nt
Filed under: uncultured bacterium
Lineage: Bacteria
Description: bacterial SSU rRNA
Rfam family: Bacterial small subunit ribosomal RNA
Source: RNAcentral
UAGAGUUUGUCCUGGCUCAGGAUGAACGCUAGCUACAGGCUUAACACAUGCAAGUCGAGGGGCAGCAGGACGGUAGCUUGCUACUGUCGCUGGCGACCGGCGCACGGGUGAGUAACGCGUAUCCAACCUGCCCACGGCUGGGGGAUAACCCGCGGAAACGCGGCCUAAUACCCCAUGGCCCCGCAUGAAGGCAUCCGAGUGCGGGUAAGGGCCUUGGCCGGCCGUGGAUGGGGAUGCGUCCGAUUAGCUGGUCGGUGGGGCGACGGCCCACCGAGGCGACGAUCGGUAGGGGUUCUGAGAGGAAGGCCCCCCACAUUGGGACUGAGACACGGCCCAAACUCCUACGGGAGGCAGCAGUGAGGGAUAUUGGUCAAUGGGCGGGAGCCUGAACCAGCCAAGUAGCGUGCAGGAUGACGGCCCUAUGGGUUGCAGACUGCUUUUGCGCGGGGACAAAGCGGGCCACGUGUGGCCCUUUGCGGGUACCGCGCGAAUAAGGACCGGCUAAUUCCGUGCCAGCAGCCGCGGUAAUACGGAAGGUCCCGGUGUUAUCCGGAUUCAUUGGGUUUAAAGGGAGCGCAGGCCGCCCGGUAAGCGUGUUGUGAAAUGCGGACGCCCAACGUCCGAGCUGCAGCGCGAACUGCCGGGCUUGAGUGCGCACAACGCGGGCGGAACUCGCCGUGUAGCGGUGAAAUGCUUAGAUAUGGCGAAGAACCCCGAUUGCGAAGGCAGCCCGCGGGGGCGCCACUGACGCUCAUGCUCGAAAGCGCGGGUAUCGAACAGGAUUAGAUACCCUGGUAGUCCGCGCGGUAAACGAUGG